Molecule: ribosomal RNA, 253 nt
Filed under: uncultured bacterium
Lineage: Bacteria
Description: partial 16S ribosomal RNA
Rfam family: Bacterial small subunit ribosomal RNA
Source: RNAcentral
UACGUAGGGUGCAAGCGUUAAUCGGAAUUACUGGGCGUAAAGCGUGCGCAGGCGGUUGUGCAAGACAGAUGUGAAAUCCCCGGGCUCAACCUGGGAACUGCAUUUGUGACUGCACAGCUUGAGUGCGGCAGAGGGGGAUGGAAUUCCACGUGUAGCAGUGAAAUGCGUAGAUAUGUGGAGGAACACCGAUGGCGAAGGCAGCCCCCUGGGUUAACACUGACGCUCAUGCACGAAAGCGUGGGGAGCAAACAGG